RNAcentral lists this unclassified non-coding RNA (5220 nucleotides) under Hevea brasiliensis (rubber tree). The record is from RNAcentral. Lineage: Eukaryota; Viridiplantae; Streptophyta; Magnoliopsida; Malpighiales; Euphorbiaceae.
GGAAAAUAUUUUUGAACCUUGCUCAAGUACAGAUUGGCCUUGAUUGAUAAUUGAAGGGAGUGUUGUCAACUAACCACAUCCUAAAGAGAUAUUGAGUGGAAAAACAAACCUUAUCUAGUUAUCUUGUUGUAGGAUCAAAAAGACUUGAGAUUUCUUGAAACCUCUCUAUUUCCGUCUUCAAGCUAAUUAAUAUCCAAGAAAAUCACUCCUACGAAGGAGAAUGGCUCUACAUAGCAAAGAGAGGUUGCAAUUAUCCAGUAUAUAGCACACGUCCACUUAGGAUGAAAUCUGGACCCCACGUCGAACUUAUCCAUUUAUGUUUCGUGGAAAAAAACAAGGAUGAUCAUGCUGGGAUAUUAAAUUUGUACAGAGAAACAGGAUGUUAAUCGCUGAGCAAAAUUCCCUUAUCUCAGAUAAAAGAAAAACGAAAAUAUAUCUUUUGAAAUAAAUAUUGAGCCUUUUUUCUCUUAUUUUCUUUUCUUGUCGAUGAUGGUGCAUUGGCUGCACAGCCAGUGCCGUCUAGUGUAGUGUUAUAUAUAUAUAUGCACAUGCUUGAUGUUUUUAUGAUGCUGCUCUAGAUUUAUUCCGUCUUCUUUCUUGUUUUUUUCUCUGCGAAUGGUAUCUGUUUUUAUCAGCUUUUUGUGUUUCUUGGAAGGUGGUUGUUAGUGAAAUUGAUUAGUUAAUUAGCCAGAGAUAUAGCUACUUUUGUUAACAAGGUAUAGAGAGGGUUAUAAUGGACCGUCAGAAGGAAGGGUCCUCUUCUCUUUCUUCUUCUUCAUCAUUCACAGCUGAUCUUUUUGGCAUCAAGGAGUCACCCCCUUCUUCAUCAACUGGGAUUUUUGCUUCCAUCUUUCCACCUCCAUCCAGGGUAUGGUCUUACACUGUUUAGAUACAUAUGGUGAUGUUUAUAUGGGAAUUUUUUGGAUGCUUUAUUAAGUUGAUAUAUGGUAUUUUAUUACUUGGGUUUUACUUGACGUAAUAAAUCAGUAAAGAAUAUAAGAAAAGGGGAUGGAGAGUUCCUUUUGAAGUGCAUGCCAUGCAUAUAAAACUACAAAUUCUUGAACUGAACUGAAGAAGUCCACACAAUUGAUAGGAUCCACUUAAAUUUGGAAAACAAACAUAGGCCUAAAAUUGGUCCAUUUUGGUAGAUGUCUUUAAUUACUUUGCUCUUCCAAUUAAUUAACAUAGCCACCAGAUUUCUGGGUCGGUAUCUGAACUUAUUUUUAGUUGCUCAGGUUUUAGGAACGAAAUUCUCAAGCUCUGAGGUGAUAGGCUCUUGGCAAAGCAGCCCUCUGGAAAUCAAGGGUGGAACACCAAACAAGGAGCUCCAGGUUUGUCUUAGUAGGCUUGUUCUACAUUAUCUAUAUUCCUAUCUUUCCUAUGAGUCGAUCAUGUUCAUUGAAAACUAAUUUACCUAUAUUCUCCUUGAACUGAUCAUUCCUUAUUUCUUGUGAAAUGCCAAAUAUUUCUCAAAUAUUGAGCAUAGAGAAUAAGCUUGGAGCAAAUUGCCUCGUAUGUUGUUAAUUUUUUUAUUAACAAUACAGCUGUGACUAGCGAGGCAGCAAGCUAUAACAUGCCUGACGAGAACAAGAAUUCUAUUUUUAUGGAAGAAAGAGCAGAACCAUGUCAUCUAAGUUCAUCACUUUACUAUGGUGGGCAAGACAACUAUUCUCAGCCCCCAAGUAGCCAUUCUGGAUCAUAUCCCAUGGUGAGUCUUCUUUAGUAACUGACUAAUUCAAAUACUAUAUUGAGAUAUUGUCAGCAUAUAGAACUACUGAAAUUAUGCAUCAAGUAAAUGACCUGAUGUACUUUGUGAAUCAAUUAGUUCAAGAAAGAUGGGGGAGAAGAUGAUCCUAACGGCAACAAUUCAAACGGUGCUUCUAGAGGAAAUUGGUGGCAAGGUUCACUUUAUUAUUAGGACCUUGCCUUCCCUUGUCAUAUGAAUUCUUAAUCUAUUUUUUAAGGUAAACACAUAAUCUUUUUAAGACAAGAUAGAUGAGUCUUUUUCAUUCUGUAUAAAUUCAAUUGCUUUAAUUUUUCAGCUGAUCAGCAGGAAUAUAACAACAUGUGUUCAAUCUCCUCCCCCAUCUUAAUCACACCCAACCAAAAACCAGGAAAAAAAGGAGAGAUAAUAGGAGAAGGGAGAGGAGGGACACUGAUACAACCUAAACAAAUUGAAGGUACUCAAAUUUCAUAUAGAAGCAGAAAAAUUUUUCUUGGCAUAUCCUGGUAACACAAGAAAAUACUUAUCAUAUUAUCUAUUUUAGUGCCUAGAAGUGAGUUUUACUUUCAGUUUCGUCUUUUGGCCUACCUGUAGGAAGAGUGCAGUGGGUAGAAUUACGCUAGCCCUUGGUGAAACCGUUUUCAACAGUGAAAAAAGAAAAUUUGAGUAAAGACAUACAAGCAUGAAAGCAAUUGUGCUCACCAAAAUCAGUCAACUUAGAAAUAAACAACAAAAAAUUCUUCUUUGUCCUUUAUUUUUUUUUUAUCCGUUCCUUUCUUUUUUUCCCCUUUUUAAUUACAGGAAUUCAUGAAGCCUAGGUGACAAUAACGAAAAUAUGCAAAAUAAAGAAGCAGCUGAUGUUGUUAGAUCCUUGAAAUGCUUUCCCCAGUAAAGACAUUCAAGUUCCAUGAUUUUGAAAUGAGUGUGGCCUCAAUGAAAGACAUGUUGAAGAAACUGUGCAACAGUGGUGAACUCUUUCUGCUCUUGGCCAAUUUACCUGGGCCAUUGAAUAUUGUUUUGAUGCUCUUUUUAUAAGCAUGUAAGAAAUAUCAAUAAAUAGAUGAUUUUUGAGCCUCUUCAGUUGUACAUGUCAACAUGGAUGCUUGAAGGUUCAUUCCCAAAAUUUUGUGCAUCUAUCCUAUUAUUUGUAGAAAUAUAUGAAACUCAAAAAAAGGCUCAUAAUUUUUCUGAGGUACAGGUUUCAGCCUUCAAUAGGCAAAUCAUUAGAUAUUGUUCUAGGGUGGUAAAUUUUAUAGCACAGGAAGAAAGCAGUGAACCUGUUUCCACUUCUAAAUACACCAAUCAUAUUGUCUAGCACAAUCAUAUUGUCUAGCAAAACCAUACAGUUCCAUACAUAAAUGUCACGUUUCUUUCAGGAUUUCAUAACUGUAAAUCAAAAUUCAUCUCUCUAGCUUUGUCCGCUAAUCCAACUACAAAAGUAGCCGCCAAAAAUAAGUACCUUGUUUAAGGCCAUCAGAAUUUAAACUUCCUCCCAGCUUGAGGUAAAUUGUAGCCUGUGAAUUGGAUUCAGAUCUAUCAUGUCUAUAUGGUAACACUACAACAAGAUAUCUUGGUUCCUGUCCUGUUUUCUUCUUAAAGGUCUCGCUUCAACUGGUUCCUCCACACCUUCAACCCAACUACUUAAUUGUAAUGACAGGAGCAUUUGAACUGAAAUUACAAAAUUCCUUACAACACUUCACUGCUGGAUCUCACAAUCUCUCAUAAUUGAACUCAAAGAGGCAAUGGUACUGCUAUUUUAACUGGACUGGAGGUUAGAAUUGACAAUAAUCUUCCAUUCUGUUCUCAUCAUUUGAUAUGCAAAGGAAAAGCCUUUCAUAAGCAGCUGCCAUUUUGGUAGCAGUGAACAACUGCAACCCUUUCUGCCUAGCAGCCUGGCCUUUCUUUUCUAGAACUCCUCUGCCAUCUUCCCAAACUCUAUAGAGAGCAUUCUUCAAUGAAAGUACUGUUGGUGAAAAGAUAUAACCUGUUUCUUUUCCAACAAUCACAGAUCCUGUGAUGCUGGCUACCCUUGUGGCCAUAACAGGCUUACCAGAUAGCAUUGCUUCUAGUAAAGUAUGAUCCAAUCCUUGAGCUCGAAUUGUUGGGUUGACAAAAAUGUCUAUUGCAUUGUACAACCUUGCCAGUUGAGCUUGUUCUAAUGGCCCCAGAACAAGUGCAUUUGCCCCAAGAUCCCUGUAUCUAGGACCCCAAGGACCAUCUCCAGCAACCAAAACAACAGUGUUCUCACGAAAUGUAUCAUUCUCCUUGAGCAUCUGCUUCAGCGCCUCAAACAUUAAGGGAUGCCCUUUAUCUUUCACCAACCUCCCUGCCAUGCCCAAAACCAACAAUCUACUCUCCGUGACACCAAAUUUCUGCUUAAAUUCUUUGCCUUUAGCAGCAUCCGGCUUGAAAACCUCCUCAUCCACGCCAUUGAGAAUAAUAUGAACUCGUUCUUCUGGGAUCAUAUAUAUCCUUUUCAGGACAUCUCCAGCAUGAUCACUAGUGGCAACAUGGUGAGCAUAAUCAGGGAAAAAUCUGACCUCUUCAACAACUUUGUUAACUCUUUCAGUCAAUGCAUAUGCUUGUGGUUCUUCAGGAUUCCGUAAAAGUUCUUGAAUGAUGUCAGUAUGAAUGGUUUCAUAUGCAAUCCCAUGCCAAGUAACUGCUAAGUUGGUCAGGUUCUGUGAUCGAGCAUGCCAGAGCCCCACACUUUCAGUGUGGACUACAUCAAAAGGUUUCUUGGUUGAGUUUUGAGUUUGAAAUAGCUUCCAGACCAAAGCUUGGUCCAGAUAACCAGCAGCUGUUGGUUUUGAAAGGUGAAAAUAUAAAUUGCUCAUUGGGUACCUUGGGAAGGUGGAGUUGAGGGGAGAAGUGGUGAAAACAUGUAGCUCAUGCCCUCUUUUGGCAAGUGCAAGAUGAAGGGUCAAAGCAUGCCGUUCAAGCCCUCCAGCAUGAGAUCUAUCAGGCCAUUUCUUCACAAAGAGCGCAAUUUUAAGGUGUUUUGGAGGUGGUUUUGAGGGAAAGGAAAGAUGAUUCCAUGAAGAAGGGAAAGAAAGAAGAUUAAUGGGUUGAUAUUGCUUUUGCAAUAUCAUUUGGCUUUUGGAAUAGCAUGGAACAGAGCAUUGAAACCAAUAGAGAACUGAAACGAAUGAAAAUGCAGACAGGAGCACAGUGACUAAGCAGAAACAACGAAUACUGAAGAUAACAAUCUGAUCUUUAGCCAUGAAAUGCCAAAUUAUGAUAAGAGAUCCUUCUAACAAGCUUUUCCUCGGCAAACAUAAAUCAAGUUAACAUGUAAAAUAUAGAUUCAAAACAUGAAAGCAAUAAUUAGAUUGGAACUGAUACAAAAAUCAAUUUGAAUCUAGUAAGGAACCUAAGAAGAAGCAUACUUUGAGUGCCAAAAGGGCAUUCAGUUUGUGUGCUUGAAUUAGAAGGCACCUGCACAUGGUUCUCUCUCUUACUAGCAGUAGAGGCGAAGCAAAUACUCAACGAUCCAU